RNAcentral lists this ribosomal RNA (464 nucleotides) under uncultured bacterium. RNAcentral describes it as "partial 16S ribosomal RNA". It matches the Rfam family "Bacterial small subunit ribosomal RNA", at positions 28 to 507 of the family's 1533-position model. The record is from RNAcentral.
GAUGAACGCUGGCGGCGUGCUUAACACAUGCAAGUCGAACGGAAAGGCCCAAGCUUGCUUGGGUACUCGAGUGGCGAACGGGUGAGUAACACGUGGGUGAUCUGCCCUGCACUUCGGGAUAAGCCUGGGAAACUGGGUCUAAUACCGGAUAGGACCACAUUUUGGAUGGUGUGGUGGAAAGUUUUUCGGUGUGGGAUGAGCUCGCGGCCUAUCAGCUUGUUGGUGGGGUAAUGGCCUACCAAGGCGUGGACGGGUAGCCGGCUUGGACGGGUGUACGGCCCAGUGGGCAAUGGGAUACGGCCCUGACUCAUCCGGGGGGAUGGAGGGGGGACUGUUCGAAAAUGGCCGCAAGCCGGAUGAAGGGAUUCGGGUUGGGGAUGACGGCCUUCGGGUUGUAAACUCCUUUCGCUAGGGACGAAGCGCAAGUGACGGUACCUGGAGAAGAAGCACCGGCUAACUACGUG